AUUGGGCGUAAGGGCUCGCAGGCGGUUUCUUAAGUCUGAUGUGAAAGCCCCCGGCUCAACCGGGGAGGGUCAUUGGAAACUGGGGAACUUGAGUGCAGAAGAGGAGAGUGGAAUUCCACGUGUAGCGGUGAAAUGCGUAGAGAUGUGGAGGAACACCAGUGGCGAAGGCGACUCUCUGGUCUGUAACUGACGCUGAGGAGCGAAAGCGUGGGGAGCGAACAGGAUUAGAUACCCUGGUAGUCCACGCCGUAAACGAUGAGUGCUAAGUGUUAGGGGGUUUCCGCCCCUUAGUGCUGCAGCUAACGCAUUAAGCACUCCGCCUGGGGAGUACGGUCGCAAGACUGAAACUCAAAGGAAUUGACGGGGGCCCGCACAAGCGGUGGAGCAUGUGGUUUAAUUCGAAGCAACGCGAAGAACCUUACCAGGUCUUGACAUCCUCUGACAAUCCUAGAGAUAGGACGUCCCCUUCGGGGGCAGAGUGACAGGUGGUGCAUGGUUGUCGUCAGCUCGUGUCGUGAGAUGUUGGGUUAAGUCCCGCAACGAGCGCAACCCUUGAUCUUAGUUGCCAGCAUUCAGUUGGGCACUCUAAGGUGACUGCCGGUGACAAACCGGAGGAAGGUGGGGAUGACGUCAAAUCAUCAUGCCCCUUAUGACCUGGGCUACACACGUGCUACAAUGGA
Molecule: ribosomal RNA, 680 nt
Filed under: Bacillus subtilis
Lineage: Bacteria; Bacillati; Bacillota; Bacilli; Caryophanales; Bacillaceae
Description: bacterial SSU rRNA
Rfam family: Bacterial small subunit ribosomal RNA
Source: RNAcentral